AGUGAACGCUGGCGGCAGGCCUAAUACAUGCAAGUCGAACGGCAGCACAGCAGAGCUUGCUCUGUGGGUGGCGAGUGGCGGACGGGUGAGGAAUACAUGGGAAUCUGCCCAGUCGUGGGGGAUAACGUAGGGAAACUUACGCUAAUACCGCAUGCGCCCUUCGGGGGAAAGCCGGGGACCUUCGGGCCUGGCGCGAUUGGAUGAGCCCAUGUCGGAUUAGCUAGUUGGCGGGGUAAUGGCCCACCAAGGCGACGAUCCGUAGCUGGUCUGAGAGGAUGAUCAGCCACACUGGAACUGAGACACGGUCCAGACUCCUACGGGAGGCAGCAGUAGGGAAUAUUGGACAAUGGGCGCAAGCCUGAUCCAGCCAUGCCGCGUGAGUGAAGAAGGCCCUCGGGUUGUAAAGCUCUUUUGUCCGGAAGAAAGCGCCGGGUUAAUACCCUAGGUGUCCUGACGGUACCGGAAGAAUAAGCACCGGCUAACUUCGUGCCAGCAGCCGCGGUAA
Molecule: ribosomal RNA, 505 nt
Filed under: uncultured bacterium
Lineage: Bacteria
Description: bacterial SSU rRNA
Rfam family: Bacterial small subunit ribosomal RNA
Source: RNAcentral